AAAAGGUCACAUGUUGUAUGAAAUAUCCAGAACAGACAAAUCUAUAGAGACAGAAAGUGGAUUAGUGGUUUCCAGGGACUGGAAGCUGCAGCGGGUGGAGGUUGACUGCUAAAGAUACAGGGUUUCUUUUGGGGUGAUGAAAAUGUUCUGGAAUUAAAUAGUGAUAAUGAAAUGUAAGUAUGGUAAUAAAACUACUGAAUUAAAAAUUUCAAAGUGGUGAAUUUUAUGAUAUGUGUCUUAUAUCUGAAUUUUAAAAACCUGACUAAGAAGGGACUAAAGCAGAGGGUGACAAGUUGGCUUCCAGGUAACUAAUAGUAGCAGGUGGGACAGGGAAGAAGAUUGUGGACAAGAAAAAAGAUUAAGUAAAGCCUUUGAAAAGAAGUGAACUAAUUUGGGAAGACCUCGGUGGAGGCAGGGAUUAGGUAUCAGAGUGGAGAACCAGUAAUACAGGAAAAGAAAGAAAAUGUAUAGAUGUUGGAAAGGCACAAGGAAAACUAAGUAUUGGGGUUCCAUCUCUGGAUAAGAUGAAGUAAGCAUGCUUCACCUUUUCUCUCACAUAGAAAACAACUCUAAAACCUGGAUAGAAUGUAUGGAGCAGCUAUUCGAGAACGUCAAAGCAUUAAUAGCAGUUUGUGAUUUGGAGAAGAACACCAGAGUUCAAAGUACCACUGAACUGAUGGUGGCUGAUGGCAGGUUCUGACAUCUCAGAGAGGUUGGCAACUUGGAGGUCUCCCACCAGCUCUUCAGACUCUCACGAUAUUGGCAACUGCUGGGCCUCACUCACAAGCUUUCAGCCAGCUCUGGGAGCUGUGCUUGUGAUGGCUGCAGCCCAAACUACAUCAACGAGAAGAUCCUGGAGCUGAAGCAAUUCCCGACACGUCUUCCUUUCUGCAUGGGAAGAUCCAAGCCUGGAUGAGGGUGCAUCAUCCAGGAAGCGUUGAGAAGGCAGUGACCUUGGUGCAGCAUUUAGAGUGAGAACCCAGGAGACGAAGGCAAUGAAGCCGAGCCGAGGACGAGCAGCAGGACUGCGAGGAGGCUGGAGCUGAUGAUGGUGAAAGCGAGGAUUCGCCUGUGAUGGUGUCAGCGAUGACAUGGGCACAGUCUCACCCAGGACCCCAGGAGUCCUGGCUGUUCCCAAACUGACUGACCAAGAUAAUACAUUCUUUUCCAGAUCCCCAUCUUCAAGAAUAGUACAAAGAAAAUGGUACAUUUUGAUGACUUAUUAGUGGAACUUGACCCCUGGGGAGGUUUCACCACUUGGGAGCAGCCCGCAGGUAUGGUGAGCUGAGGUUGCAGAACGUGGAACACAAAGCUUGCCUUUUUAAACAGCAUGAAGACACAGUGCUUUUCUUUAGGAUCUGAGUUAAAUAAAGGUAAGGGGGC
Long non-coding RNA from Aethalodelphis obliquidens (Pacific white-sided dolphin), 1383 nucleotides. RefSeq lists it as uncharacterized. The transcript has 5 exons. The record is from RefSeq and is a predicted model, not a curated record. Lineage: Eukaryota; Metazoa; Chordata; Mammalia; Artiodactyla; Delphinidae.